This 83-nucleotide transfer RNA is filed under the name uncultured archaeon. Its description in RNAcentral is "tRNA-Ser(gct)". It matches the Rfam family "tRNA". From Rfam's summary of the family: Transfer RNA (tRNA) molecules are approximately 80 nucleotides in length. Their secondary structure includes four short double-helical elements and three loops (D, anti-codon, and T loops). The record is from RNAcentral.
GCCGACAUCGCAUAGUGGUAUUGCAUCAGGUUGCUAACCUGAGCCCUUUACUGGGCCCCAGGGUUCGAUUCCCUGUGUCGGCG